Molecule: ribosomal RNA, 497 nt
Filed under: uncultured bacterium
Lineage: Bacteria
Description: partial 16S ribosomal RNA
Rfam family: Bacterial small subunit ribosomal RNA
Source: RNAcentral
GAUGAACGCUGGCGGCGUGCCUAAUACAUGCAAGUCGAGCGAACAGACGAGGAGCUUGCUCCUCUGACGUUAGCGGCGGACGGGUGAGUAACACGUGGAUAACCUACCUAUAAGACUUGGAUAACUUCGGGAAACCGGAGCUAAUACCGGAUAAUAUAUUGAACCGCAUGGUUCAAUAGUGAAAGACGGUUUUGCUGUCACUUAUAGAUGGAUCCGCGCCGCAUUAGCUAGUUGGUAAGGUAACGGCUUACCAAGGCAACGAGGCGUAGCCGACCUGAGAGGGUGAUCGGCCACACUGGAACUGAGACACGGUCCAGACUCCUACGGGAGGCAGCAGUAGGGAAUCUUCCGCAAUGGGCGAAAGCUUGACGGAGCAACGCCGCGUGAGUGAUGAAGGUCUUCGGAUCGUAAAACUCUGUUAUUAGGGAAGAACAAAUGUGUAAGUAACUAUGCACGUCUUGACGGUACCUAAUCAGAAAGCCACGGCUAACUACGUG